This 92-nucleotide ribosomal RNA is filed under the name Notechis scutatus (mainland tiger snake). The record is from RNAcentral. Lineage: Eukaryota; Metazoa; Chordata; Lepidosauria; Squamata; Elapidae.
GGCUGUCCCAAGCUGACCGUGGGAAGCUAGCUACGGUCAGGGCUGUGGAGUCCUUGGAUGGGAGACCACCAAGGAAUCCCAGGGUGUAGCCU